AGAGCAGAGCUAUGGGCAAAAAGCUUCACAGAAGGCAGAGGGCUGGCCAAUCUCUCUCUGACAUUGAAAAACCUUCACCAUCUUUUCCAGCUCUGCUGGGGGACGUAUUGGAAACAUCCUCGUUUUGACCAGUACUCUGGUACCUAGCCGGACCCCCCACCCCCGGCAGGUUAGCUGCCAUGGGGAAGUCCCUUCUACCAGCUCCACAUCAACCUGUGCGGCUCUACGGGGGAAGCAUCACAAACGGACCAGAAUCAGGGGCAGUCGGAGAGAAAUACCUGUAGUCUCGCUGCUGAGCGCUGUCCAUAGGUUAAGGCAGAAGGACCAUGGCUAGAACCACGCUCAGAGCACAAGGACACGCUGUCCAAUCAGAGACAGCCCAGGGGACCAGCAGUGCUGUCAGCGCCACUAGAACUACAGCUCAGCCCCAGCAGCAUGGUUCAAUCAACGGCCAGACCUGGUGGGAGAGGAAAAGCCACUCCUCUGGGGAGCAGAAUGAGAGCUCCCCAUAAGGGUGAGACGCAUGGCCUUGGAAAGACAGGGCAGGAACACAGGCAACCAGAGGCUUCUCUUCAGCUGGCAAUCCACAUGAUACCAGGGUCUCCAGAGAAACAGUCCCAUCUCGUCAGAGAGGAAGAGCCCAGAUCCUGGAAUUCUUCACACAGCUCCUCACAAACUUCAGAGCCAAAGUAUCUAAUUGGAGGCUUCAGUGCCCCCCACCAAAAUAAAAAAGUGUUUGACUCCCUAAAGACAGUGUCUGUGUAUCCCGUGUGUGCCUGAAUCCAAACGGGAAAAUCCCUGUGGCACCACAGACCAGUGUCAACAUCCUCAACUCUUCCAUGGGAUUUCAUUCUGAUGUCAAGUGCGGACACAACAGGAGGCCAUGGCUGGCUAUCAGGAGAAGAUGGCCGUUUUCACACAAAGUCAUAGGGAAUCAGCCCACAACUCUGAGCGUUUGCAUGUGCACACAGCACAAGAACCUGCAUAGCAACUUGAAGGUUGCAGACAGCCAGGAAAUACUAGAGACAAGGCCCCAGCAACAGUGAUAGGUUGGCUAUGUUGCAGGUCCUACAUGUUUUGUAGGAUGCAUUUUAUGACCCCAAUAUAUUGAGCUGCAUAUUUAACAAGAAAAGAAUCAGACGUUGCAUAUGUGCAGCAUAGCUGGGCUAAUGCUGCUCACUGCAUUGCCAUUCUAACAGUACCAACUUAACAUUGCAUUAGCAGGUUUCUGCACCUAAAUUCCUAGCUUUCUUUCUGAAAGAGGAUAAAUCCUGAGCUUGUCAGCUUGUAAGGCUUACAGAUCCCCAGGCCGUCACCUGCAGCAUUUGCAAGCUCCUUUCUCUACAAUACAUUAUACAAGAUCUGCUGGCUUCAUAAUCAGUAGAUAAGCUCAAAGCCACAAAAUUAUAAUGGUUUAGCAAUAAAUGCAGAUCAAGUAACACAGAAGGAAGGGACUGCUCCCGCAUCAAGCUAACUGGUGUCUUUACACAAGGUGAGAGCUUCCAAUCUUAUCUGCAAGACAACUCAGUAAGUCUUUGCUACAUGUAACAGAUGAAUGGCUAGAUACACAAGACAGCCCAGCCACCAUCUAACUUCCAGCUGCAAGCUCCUCUCCUUACUUCUACAGAUUAGCAAAUAAAUAAAUCACCAAAAGAGAAGCUCAGUGACUUUUGCAGUCCUCCCCACUUUGCUCGGGAGCAGGGCAGGACUGAAAAAUUGCUUUCUGCCUAGGAAAAGCCAGCACAGGACAAGCUCUGGAGUCUGUAACACACAGACGCUGGUGUAAAGUCACAUGUCAGACAUCGUUAAUGCUGAGAGAGCUCUUGCAUCUUUGAGAAGGGAAACAAAAUCCCUCUGACCUGAAUGAAGGGUGUCUGACGCCACAGUCCCUUCUCUGCCCCAAUCCCAUGCUGGCAACCAGUCACCACAAAUCAAACAGGAAUACCACCCCUUGAGGCCCGAGUUAUAAAAUCCUGCACAGGUCACAAGUGAGAUUAAAUUUGGGGAUCUCUUCUUGAGCUCAUGUGAGUGUUUGUCUUGAUUGUUGGUUGGUUCCAUCUGCUCUGAGAAGACACGCAGGACAGCAAUAGCAGCUGCUGCUCAACAGCUCAACCAGAGUUGCUCAAUCACUGGCUCCCUCUAGAAUGAGGAAGGGAGAAGCACAAAGCACUUGUGAACCAGAGUUCACCUGAGCAGAAGAUGCUAAAAGAGGGUAUUCUGCAGGAAAGCCCAAGGCUGCAUCAGAACUGCUGGCAGGUGAGAAGCCUUGCCUGUAUCCAGAAAACCCCCAGAGCAGCAUGAGAUUUCGGGGCUGGGGUACAAACCAGGCUCGGUGGAAGGAGAUAAGCCAGUUUCACAACGGCAGUUCAGUGAAGCACAUACACAUUGUGAAGCCAAGCAGGGCACAGCUGGGUCCCCACUCAGCCAAAGCGCUGCAGCAAGCAGAGGAGAGGGACGUGUCACUGCCCAUCCCCAGGAAGUGAACUUGUUACUCCUUCCCCACCUCACCAGCAGACACUGUCCGGCUCAGGUGGGGCCUUGGAACCCUUGCGAGCCUGAAGCGAAUGCACAGGAGGAGAGCGUGUGUUGUUUUACUUCUAUUUCUUCAGAAAGACUCAAUGGUGCACGGGCAAGUGUGGUGAGAGACAGCCUCAUUGCACCGAGACAGUGAUGGCCUCCUGCUACCCGCUGAGCAGGGCCACCAGCAUCACGCACACCUCGGUUGCAGGUGCAGAAAAGAGGUGGCUGAGGACAAUGCACAGAGGACAGGCUACCUGGCAUGUCUGCACAUCCCAGUGACUGGUGCUACAGAAGCCGCAGAGCCCCAGGGGGCGCCUGGCUCUGGAGGGAGCUCAGUUGGCCGGGUGGUAGGUGGAGAAGCACUGAUCAAACGUAAGGGCAUUCCAAGUGCUUUACAUAGAGAGACCCAUACUGUCAGUGAGCUGGUCCACCAGGGGUGGGUAAAACCCCUACAAACCACCCUCAGGGCAGCCUAAACUUGAACGGCCCCUCUCCCAUGGGAUGGGAGGAUGGGAACUCCAUAGAGGGGGCUUGGAUGAGAAGACCCCAUGGCAGAAGCAAAAAAGCAGGAAAAGAUAGAUAAGCAGGCAGGGCCGGCUUUCUGACUCGCGGGGCCCAAUUGGAGUACUCGGCAGCAGUCCGGGGCUUCGGCAGCACUUCGGCAGUGGGGGUCCCUUCCGGGUUUUCCAUGGCACCGAAGGACCCCCCCCGCCACUGAAGACCCCCAGAGUGGGGCCCCCUUAGGCGCGGGGCCCAAUUCAGGGGAAUCGGGGGAAUCGGCUUAAAGCCAGCCCUGUGAGCAGGUGGCUGGAGCAUCUGCUUGAGAAUGCUGCCAGUUCCCACUUGGUCCCAUCAGAGGGGCAGCCUCAGCCCCACCAGAAUGCACCCGUCUCACGGCCACAGCCAGGCACAGCUUCCUCCUAUCCCUAAGUAGCUAAGAACAAAAUGGCAACAGAGAAGUUAGUACAUGCAGCUACACUAGCACUGCCUGUCCUCACCUCCCCUGGGCAAUGGUAACCUUGCUCCUGUUCUCAUUUCAAGAGACGCGCUAAGGGCCCUGAUAAGGGCACUUCUACAUCCUCUACCAGAUUUGUUCCUUUAGUAACUACCCAUUUUAGUCAAGUGCGUGCCAUAAAUUAGCGUGAAAGGCCCCGGCUCCCCUGUGCAGCCGAGCGCAUUUCCUUCACCACGCACUGCUUCUUGGCUGGCCAGCUCUGCAAUGGGAGAGGGAUGGGAUUACGCAGCAUUCAGUGCCAAGAAUCAGGGAGAGCAGAGAACCAACCUGGGACCUCAAGGUCAGCCAAACGGAUGUAAUUCCCCCAUAAAGCCCUGCAGACCACCAGAGCACACCAGCAGACAGCCUCUAUUCCCAGCCCGGUGAAAGGCCAAACUGGACUUCAGGAGCUUUAUUGAGGCAGCUUCAAGGAAUUAAUGGGAGAUGGGGGGGGGACCUCCCUGCAACCUCCCCAUUAAGAUCAGGGGCCCCCAGCCCCAUGAAUUUACAGCACCUUCCAUGGGGGUAAAGGGAAAGUCCUCUAGCCCCACCAACACUUA
Molecule: long non-coding RNA, 4074 nt
Organism: Mauremys mutica (yellowpond turtle)
Lineage: Eukaryota; Metazoa; Chordata; Testudines; Geoemydidae
Exons: 3
Source: RefSeq, a predicted model, not a curated record